UACGGAGGAUCCAAGCGUUGUCCGGAUUUAUUGGGUUUAAAGGGUGCGUAGGUGGAUAAUUAAGUCAGGGGUGAAAGCCCGCAGCUCAACUGUGGAACUGCCCUUGAAACUGAUUAUCUUGAAUAUGGUUGAGGUAGGCGGAAUGUGUCAUGUAGCGGUGAAAUGCUUAGAUAUGAUACAGAACACCAAUUGCGAAGGCAGCUUACUAAGCCAUUAUUGACACUGAGGCACGAAAGCAUGGGGAGCAAACAGG
This 253-nucleotide ribosomal RNA is filed under the name uncultured bacterium. RNAcentral's name for it is "partial 16S ribosomal RNA". It matches the Rfam family "Bacterial small subunit ribosomal RNA", at positions 524 to 776 of the family's 1533-position model. The record is from RNAcentral.